CAGGAUCUCACCUGGAUUUCAACUCUGGACUUUAAAUUCCCCAAUGGCAAGGGACAAGAAGAGGAGGCUCAGAGGUUAAAUAACUUCCCAAGGCCACUGGGUAAGAAACCGUGGGAUCUGAAUGCAGCUGAGGCUGUUGGAUGCCAGAGCCUAGACACAGAGCACAGCCUCAUUCUUCAGCCUCCCAGGUCCUCUAACGCAGUGUGUCCAGAGCUGAGCCCGCCUAGAACUGCCUUCCUUUUCUCAGACACCUGGGAGACGUCCUAGACUCCAUCUUCUCUGUUGCCGCAAAACAUAACCAGUUGCUUCUUGAGUCUUUCUGUGAUGUGCACCUGCCUCCAUCCCAUGGCCACUGCCUCAGUGUCAAGGCCCUCAUGAACUCUCAUCUUUGUAUUUGCAAGAACCUCCCCACAAGCCCCCUCCAAGCUACCUUCCACAGAGCAACUAAAGAAAUCUAACUAGAAUAUUAAUGGUCACAGCUUAAUACCACCAUCUCCUCCCAGCGUGCUCAGGGGUUCCCCAUGGCCUGCGGGGUUGGUCUCCCAGCUCAGGAGGCCCUUCAUAAUCAGGCCUUCCUCACCUCUCUGGCUUCUUCCUGGCAACUUGGCUCCAGCUAUGCCAAAUUACCUGUGGUCCCCCAAGCACAGUAUACCCUUUCACAAUUCUGUGUCUUUACUGUGCUGUUCCUCCUGCCAGCAAUACCCUUCCUUGUCUUCUCUAUCCAACAAACUCUUAUUCAUCCCUCAAAACCCUGAUAUGGCAUCUUCUCCCUUAUUCUGAAGCUUUUUCUGACCUCCCAAAGACAAAGGGUUUAAUACCUCCAGCAACACAGCCCUGCACUGUAAUGAAAGGGCUGGCUCCCCUAGAAAG
RNAcentral lists this non-coding RNA (870 nucleotides) under Pan troglodytes (chimpanzee). Lineage: Eukaryota; Metazoa; Chordata; Mammalia; Primates; Hominidae. The record is from RNAcentral.